UAGCCGAGUGGUUAAGGCUAUGGAUCGCCAAUCCGGAGACGGCGGGUUCGAUUCCCGU
Non-coding RNA from Aedes albopictus (Asian tiger mosquito), 58 nucleotides. The record is from Rfam. Lineage: Eukaryota; Metazoa; Arthropoda; Insecta; Diptera; Culicidae.